This is a non-coding RNA of Crenichthys baileyi (White River springfish), 109 nucleotides long. The record is from the annotation of a GenBank genome assembly. Lineage: Eukaryota; Metazoa; Chordata; Actinopteri; Cyprinodontiformes; Goodeidae.
GUGCACUGUGGCACAGUUGGUAGCACUGUUGCCUUGCAGGGUUAGGGUUAGGGGUUAGCACUGUUGCCUUGCAGCAGAAAGGUCCUGGGUUCAAUUCCUGGCAUGGACU